GGGGCUAUAGCGCAAUUGGUAGCGCACCUCCAUGGCAUGGAGGGGGUUAGGAGUUCGAGUCUCCUUAGCUCCA
RNAcentral lists this transfer RNA (73 nucleotides) under Erythrobacter sp. RNAcentral's name for it is "tRNA-Ala". It matches the Rfam family "tRNA". Rfam says of the family: Transfer RNA (tRNA) molecules are approximately 80 nucleotides in length. Their secondary structure includes four short double-helical elements and three loops (D, anti-codon, and T loops). Further hydrogen bonds mediate the characteristic L-shaped molecular structure. tRNAs have two regions of fundamental functional importance: the anti-codon, which is responsible for specific mRNA codon recognition, and the 3' end, to which the tRNAs corresponding amino acid is attached (by aminoacyl-tRNA synthetases). tRNAs cope with the degeneracy of the genetic code in two manners: having more than one tRNA (with a specific anti-codon) for a particular amino acid; and 'wobble' base-pairing, i.e. permitting non-standard base-pairing at the 3rd anti-codon position. RNAcentral also lists the same sequence under 3 other names. The record is from RNAcentral. Lineage: Bacteria; Pseudomonadati; Pseudomonadota; Alphaproteobacteria; Sphingomonadales; Erythrobacteraceae.